CUUUGAUAAAUGUAAUGGCCUCCUCCAACUCGCCCUUAUUCUUGUAUAUGUCAGACUUGUUCAGCACAAAUACGACCUUCUUACUCCACUGCUGAGUGUAACGCAGAAAACUAACCUCACUUUCAGUUAAUGGUCGAUCAGCAGACAUGAGAAACAGAAGCAGAUCUGCACGAGGCACAAAUUCCUCCGUCAGCCUUUGUUGCCUUUGAAGAAUCACAUUUGUUCCUGG
RNAcentral lists this unclassified non-coding RNA (229 nucleotides) under Hevea brasiliensis (rubber tree). The record is from RNAcentral. Lineage: Eukaryota; Viridiplantae; Streptophyta; Magnoliopsida; Malpighiales; Euphorbiaceae.